This 256-nucleotide ribosomal RNA is filed under the name uncultured bacterium. Its description in RNAcentral is "partial 16S ribosomal RNA". It matches the Rfam family "Bacterial small subunit ribosomal RNA", at positions 524 to 776 of the family's 1533-position model. The record is from RNAcentral.
UACGGAGGGUGCGAGCGUUGUCCGGAAUCAUUGGGCGUAAAGGGCGCGUAGGUGGCCCGGUCAGUCUUUGGUGAAGGCGCGGGGCUCAACCCUGCGUCGGCCAGGGAUACUGCCGCGGCUCGAGCACUGUAGAGGCAGGCGGAAUUCCGGGUGUAGCGGUGGAAUGCGUAGAGAUCCGGAAGAACACCGGUGGCGAAGGCGGCCUGCUGGGCAGUUUUGCUGACACUGAGGCGCGACAGCGUGGGGAGCAAACAGG